Molecule: ribosomal RNA, 254 nt
Filed under: uncultured bacterium
Lineage: Bacteria
Description: partial 16S ribosomal RNA
Rfam family: Bacterial small subunit ribosomal RNA
Source: RNAcentral
GACGUAGGGCGCGAGCGUUGUCCGGAUUUAUUGGGCGUAAAGAGCUCGUAGGCGGCUUGGCAAGUCGGGUGUGAAACCUCCAGGCUCAACCUGGAGACGCCACUCGAUACUGCUAUGGCUAGAGUCCGGUAGGGGACCACGGAAUUCCUGGUGUAGCGGUGAAAUGCGCAGAUAUCAGGAGGAACACCGGUGGCGAAGGCGGUGGUCUGGGCCGGCACUGACGCCGAGGAGCGAAAGCGUGGGUAGCAAACAGG